UAGUCCAAACCGUAAAUGAUGCUCGCUAGGUGUAUUCUCCAUUUGGAGGGUGUGCUGUAAGCUAACGCGUUAAGCGAGUCGCCUGAGUAGUAUAGUCGCAAGACCGAAACUCAAAGGGAUAGGCGGGGGAACACACAAGCAGAGGAUUGCCUCGAUUAAUUGGAUAAUACGCCAAGAAUCUUACCCAGGCUUGACAUCCCGAGAACUUUUUGGAAACAUUUAGGUGCCCUUCGGGGAACUCGGUGACAGAUGCUGCAUGGCCGUCGUCAGCUCGUGCCGCAAGGUGUCCGGUUAAGUCCGGAAACGAGCGCAACCCUCGUCGCUAGUUAGAAUGUCUAGCGAGACUGCCUCGGUAACGAGGAGGAAGGAGAGGGAUGACGUCAGGUCACUAUGGCUCUUACGCCUGGGGGCUCAGAGACAAUACAAUGACUAGUACAGCAGGUAGCGAAACCGCGAGGUGGAGCCAAUCCCUAAAACU
Molecule: ribosomal RNA, 478 nt
Filed under: uncultured bacterium
Lineage: Bacteria
Description: bacterial SSU rRNA
Rfam family: Bacterial small subunit ribosomal RNA
Source: RNAcentral